UAGUAGAGAAAUUUCGUACUACUUUAUCGUUGCGUUGUCGUCUGCGUUUUGGGCGGCUUGACGACCAAUGUUUGGUCCAAGAAGAAGAUCUACGAUGCUGUCAUUUUUCUAACGUCCGGUUGAAGCCAUUCUGAGAAGGUCAUAACUCAUAAGGAAGGUUACGUAAGUGUCAUGCGGUGGUGUAAGGUUGGGUGAGAAUUGAGAAAAACACGUGUUCAUCAUUAUAAACUACAGUUGUAGGUCAUAAGGAACAUUACGUAAAAGUGUCAUGCGGUGGUGUAGAGGUUGGGUAAGAAUGACACGUGUUUCAUCAUUAUCAAGCAGACCCAUCCCCAGCAACGUCUUCCUGCAGAAGGAAAGGCCGGUUUGCAUUUCAAUUGAAGGUCAUGGAGAUCAUUACGUAGAACGUGUCAUGCAGUGGUGUAGAGGUUGGGUGAGAACGGGACGUUUUUCAUCAUUAUCAAGAAGGUAGAAUAGCCGCAAGGCUCGAGAGGUGAGGGUGAGAAAAAAAUCGUAUAAAAGGAGAGAGAAAAGGCGACAGAGAUCAGUCGAGUGAGAAUCUCUGCCCCGUCAACAACUGAUUACUUGUCACCAACUGCAUUCUUCCCAUUUCCCAUUCGUAAUCGUAGAUAACUAUGGCGUCGUUCUGCUGUUGGUUAUCGUUGUGUCGACCAGUGAUGUACCAAUGUCUCCUAGGUAUGGUGGUUACCAAAUCACUACCCCGCCGUCUUACAACAGAACAACAUCAAACGUAACGACCAGUUACUUCACCAAGCCCCCCAACUAUUACACUGAGGAGGCCGAAUGUUGCACAGCCACGUAUGCUGCCCCAGUUUACUUCACCGAGGUCCCCAAAUAUUACUCUGCUCCCAGCUACUACCAGAGGCUUCUGACUACACUAAGGCCCCCGAGUAUUAAAUUGCAACUUACGCUGCCCCCAGAUACUACACUGAAGCUCCGAAGUUAUCCACCACCAAGGAAAUGGAACACCCCAACCUACGCUUCUCCACCUUACUACACACGGCAACCUGCGCUAUUAGUCACCAAGUGCAGUCUUGAUCGUGCAACCAAUUCUCAUGCAUUUGGCGUCGUGCUGCUGUUGGGUGUUCUAUCGUUGAUAGCGGGUCUACCACUGGUGUACCAGACUCCACCGAGGUUGGAGGUGAAACAGGACGAGAAAAAUUCGUAAAGAAGGAGAGGGAAAAGGCGAUGGAGAUCAGUCGAGUGAGAAUCUCCGACCCGGCAACAACUGUACUAUUUGUCAUCAACUGCAAUUCCAUUCUCCAAUGCUCCUUCCAAUUAUCAAUCAUGGUUAACUAUGGCGUCGUUCUACCGUUGGUUAUCGUUUAUUGCUGGGUCGACCACUGUUGUACCGAUGUCUCAUGGGUAUGGAGGAUACUAAACCGCAACGUCGCCGCCUAACUACACAACAUACGCAACAACCAGUUACUACACCGAGGCCCACAAGUAGGCCUACUACUCCGAUCCCAACUACUAUACCGAGGCUCCAGCUUAUUACACCAUCGAGGCCCACCUGUACUACACCACUAAGGCACCGGAGUAUUACACCACAACCUUUGCUGCUCCAGCCUACUACACCGAGGCUCCCAAGCACGCUCCCAAGCACUAUACCACCAGAGAACCGGAUUACUACGCGACUACGUAUGCUGCCCCAGCUUACUACACCGAGGCUCCCAAGUAUUUCUCUGCUCCAGCUUACUACACCGGGGUCCUGAAUACUACUCUGCACCCAGCUACAUAACCCACAACUACACAGCGGUUGCUUCAUCGUACUACGUUGAUCCGAAUUACUACUCCGAGGUUCCAGUUUACUACACCAAAAUCUACACUGCCCCCCAGCUGCUACACUGAAGCUCCUGUUUACUGCAACACCAAGGUAUUCGAGUAUUAUCCCACAUUUACGCUUCUCCAACCUUCUACAUCGAAGCUGCGAAGUAUUACUUGCCCCAGUUACAACACCACUACAAAAAGACCGAAAAAGACUUAUUCUAAAUCCAAAAUUUUUCCUUGUAAAUGGAAAUUGAUCCUUAUUAGAAUACACUUUUAAUGCGAGUAA
RNAcentral lists this unclassified non-coding RNA (2077 nucleotides) under Daphnia pulex (common water flea). RNAcentral describes it as "uncharacterized LOC124207823, transcript variant X4". The record is from RNAcentral. Lineage: Eukaryota; Metazoa; Arthropoda; Branchiopoda; Diplostraca; Daphniidae.